GAAGUUCUGUUGUGUACGCAUUGUCCAUUUCGCAGGUUUGCCUUACAGUCUUAUUACCUUGGGGUUAGUGUUAACCUAGUUGCCGGCAUGCCUUUUCACUUGGUAGCUGAACACUAGGCAACCGUACCCCACCUGUCUUACACACAGGUCAACACUGUCGGACAACCAACGGCACGAACGGAGCUUGU
This 188-nucleotide non-coding RNA is filed under the name Limosilactobacillus ingluviei. RNAcentral describes it as "Lactobacillus ingluviei 6S / SsrS RNA". It matches the Rfam family "6S / SsrS RNA". From Rfam's summary of the family: E. coli 6S RNA was the first non coding RNA to be sequenced, but its function was unknown until recently. It consists of 184 nucleotides that fold into an extended hairpin structure with a large single-stranded internal bulge. Lineage: Bacteria; Bacillati; Bacillota; Bacilli; Lactobacillales; Lactobacillaceae. The record is from Rfam by way of RNAcentral.